AUACGGAGGAUGCAAGCGUUAUCCGGAUUUAUUGGGUUUAAAGGGUGCGUAGGCGGUUUGCUAAGCGGGAGGUGAAAUGCCGGCGCUCAACGUCGGAAGUGCCUCCCGAACUGGUGGACUUGAAUGACUCUGCCGUGGGAGGAAUGUGUAGUGUAGCGGUGAAAUGCUUAGAGAUUACACAGAACACCGAUUGCGAAGGCAUCUCACGAAGGGUUGAUUGACGCUGAGGCACGAAAGCGUGGGGAUCAAACAGGAUUAGAUACCCUGGUAGUCCACGCAGUAAACGAUGAUGGCUAACCGCUGGGCUUAUCAGUUCAGUGGCCAAGCGAAAGCGAUAAGCCAUCCACCUGGGGAGUACGACCGCAAGGUUGAAACUCAAAUGAAUUGGCGGGG
This 393-nucleotide ribosomal RNA is filed under the name uncultured bacterium. RNAcentral's name for it is "partial 16S ribosomal RNA". It matches the Rfam family "Bacterial small subunit ribosomal RNA", at positions 523 to 918 of the family's 1533-position model. The record is from RNAcentral.